Molecule: long non-coding RNA, 414 nt
Organism: Macaca mulatta (Rhesus monkey)
Lineage: Eukaryota; Metazoa; Chordata; Mammalia; Primates; Cercopithecidae
Source: RefSeq, a predicted model, not a curated record
GCCAAGGCUGUGUCAUCACUGCCAAAUGCUCCUUCAGGCCACUAAAUCACCACAGUAAGAUCAGAGCUUCAGGACCUAAGUAGUGCCUGGGGAUCUGAAAGAGACGACUGACUGAGGUGGUUGAUGGGAUUCUUACAGCCCUUGUCAGGCUCCAAUUUGCAAAGCUCCAGAGUGGAUCCCCAAGUUCUCUAUCAGGAAAUUGUGCAGGAGACUGGGGGAAAGGUGAGGAGGCAGCUAUCAAAUAUUUUCUAGUUCUUUGUUGGAGGCCCUGGCCAGGGGGCAUACUUGAGAAUGAGGAUAAACGAAAAGAGCGCCUCUUACCCGUGAUAAUGGUGGCUGGAAUCAGAGACCAGGCAUGGACAAGAAGCCAGUAGAGAGUGCUGGAGAGUGAGAACCAUGGACACCUGAGUAAAC